Platichthys flesus (European flounder) is the source of this 638-nucleotide long non-coding RNA. RefSeq lists it as uncharacterized. Lineage: Eukaryota; Metazoa; Chordata; Actinopteri; Pleuronectiformes; Pleuronectidae. The record is from RefSeq and is a predicted model, not a curated record. The transcript has 4 exons.
UGUAAACAAAACAUUCGGUCCAUUUAACUCAGCGCUCCGUCAUAGCUGGAGCGCUUCCUUCUGUCAGGAGGAUCCAAGUGAAGCGACAGGAGUUUCAUUAACGUCAAUAACUUGGACCGACCAGUUUGUUUUGCUUGAUGAAGAGCAGGAAGGGCAGCCUGGAGAGAAAGAGAAGCCGGGUUGAGCCCACUACCAUCAUCCACGUACCACGAGGAAGAUGAGGGAGAGAAAUGAUCCUACCAUUAAAGAGACUGUGAAAAGAGCGUUGAGAACAUCACCACUCUACAGGAAGACACAGUCCAGUAAUGGGUGUCAGAAGUUCAGUAGUGAACGACAGGCAGCACUGAGGUAUUGACUGAGACGGGACGUGAGGGCCUACUCUGCGUGCUCAGAGUUCAAGCCCAGCAGGCUGCAGCGGGCCUGACAUAUUCCGGAACAGCAGCACAGUCUUUGGAUGACUCCUCUGAAGAGGAAAACAUGGCGAGGUACUUCUCCACUGAUGAAGAACUGUGAGGGCUGUGAUUAGCUACACUCUCUUGCUACAAGGCUACUCUUGCUACUCCCUGGCAGCCUUAGGAAGGCAUUAGCUUGCUGUUGGGUAGCUGUUAGCUUCAGCAUUUUUUGUUUUUAGCGGCCUG